This 492-nucleotide ribosomal RNA is filed under the name uncultured bacterium. RNAcentral describes it as "partial 16S ribosomal RNA". It matches the Rfam family "Bacterial small subunit ribosomal RNA", at positions 29 to 507 of the family's 1533-position model. The record is from RNAcentral.
AGUGAACGCUGGCGGUAGGCCUAACACAUGCAAGUCGAACGGCAGCACAGUAAGAGCUUGCUCUUACGGGUGGCGAGUGGCGGACGGGUGAGGAAUACAUCGGAAUCUACUUUUUCGUGGGGGAUAACGUAGGGAAACUUACGCUAAUACCGCAUACGACCUACGGGUGAAAGCAGGGGAUCUUCGGACCUUGCGCGAUUGAAUGAGCCGAUGUCGGAUUAGCUAGUUGGCGGGGUAAAGGCCCACCAAGGCGACGAUCCGUAGCUGGUCUGAGAGGAUGAUCAGCCACACUAGAACUGCGACACGGUCCAGGCUCCUACUGGAGGCAGCAGUGGGGAAUAUUGGACAAUGGGCGCAAGCCUGAUCCAGCCAUACCGCGUGGGUGAAGAAGGCCUUCGGGUUGUAAAGCCCUUUUGUUGGGAAAGAAAAGCAGCAGGUUAAUACCCCGCUGUUCUGACGGUACCCAAAGAAUAAGCACCGGCUAACUUCGUG